GACAGAGGAGGCAAGCGUUAUCCGGAAUUAUUGGGCGUAAAGCGUCCGUAGGUGGUUUGGCAAGUCUGGGGUUAAAGCCCGGAGCCUAACUCCGGAUCGGCCCUGGAAACUGCCAGACUAGAGCAAGGUAGGGGUUGCGGGAAUUCCCGGUGUAGCGGUGAAAUGCGUAGAUAUCGGGAAGAACACCAGUGGCGAAAGCGCGCAACUGUGCCAUUACUGACACUGAGGGACGAAAGCUAGGGGAGCGAACGGU
Molecule: ribosomal RNA, 253 nt
Filed under: uncultured bacterium
Lineage: Bacteria
Description: partial 16S ribosomal RNA
Rfam family: Bacterial small subunit ribosomal RNA
Source: RNAcentral